Non-coding RNA from Bemisia tabaci, 760 nucleotides. NCBI's taxonomy places the organism in Eukaryota, Metazoa, Arthropoda, Insecta, Hemiptera, Aleyrodidae. The record is from RefSeq and is a predicted model, not a curated record.
UGUGCAAACACGGCACGAACUCCUCGACCUUACAAAUGGUUCAACAAUCAUAAAAUCUGUGAUUGGUUGACUUCUAUUGCUGAGCUUAUCAGCAUUGAACUAUGUUAAUCAAAAAAUUAAUGAUGUGUACCCUGAUAACUGAUAAAGAGAAUGCUGCCUCAAUUUCAAAGAAUGAUGGAAAUGGGAGAAAGACUGAAGAGAAUGAUGUGAAUAGAAAAAAUUUAUACAGAAAGAUUCUAAGUGCGUUUAGGUACAGUAAACCUUGGAUAGUUUGAACUUGGAUUAUCCAAACUUACCAUUAGGAAAGCUUUCUUUCUCCACUUUCUUCCAGUAGACAUGGCAGAACCAUUACUCUCUCUUUCUCUCUCUCCCCUAUAAAAAUCUUUACAUAGAGUACAGGUUCAAAUAACAUUUCUCUUUCUUGUAUCCUAUUCUUCAUGCUUUAUGAAUGAAUAGCGUCAAAAUGAGCUCAACAGCGAUGACCUCCGGAUAAUUUGAACUUAUGAUAAUUUAAACCAGCCAACCAUUACACUUGUUCAAGCACGAUAACAUCACCUGCUGAUACUGUGAUACUUCUAGAGGAUGACAAAUAGAAUGCUUUCUCCUUUCUCUGUCUACAAAAUGUUAUGGAUAAAAAAAAUGUUGUAGAAGAUGAUGUUAAAACUAAUCCUUAAGUACUUCAUUGGAAUAGAAUAUCUGAAUAUUUGAAUGUUUCUGUAUAAUUUGAGUCAAGAAUAAAACACCUGACCAUCUUCUAGAA